Molecule: ribosomal RNA, 274 nt
Filed under: uncultured bacterium
Lineage: Bacteria
Description: partial 16S ribosomal RNA
Rfam family: Bacterial small subunit ribosomal RNA
Source: RNAcentral
AUACGGAGGGUGCAAGCGUUAAUCGGAAUUACUGGGCGUAAAGCGCGCGUAGGCGGUUUGAUAAGUCGGAUGUGAAAUCCCCGGGCUCAACCUGGGAAUUGCAUUCGAUACUGUCAGGCUAGAGUGUGGUAGAGGGAAGUGGAAUUUCCGGUGUAGCGGUGAAAUGCGUAGAUAUCGGAAGGAACACCGGUGGCGAAGGCGGCUUCCUGGACCAACACUGACGCUGAGGUGCGAAAGCGUGGGGAGCAAACAGGAUUAGAAACCCUAGUAGUCC